UGCGGUGUGGGAUGAGCCUGCGGCCUAUCAGCUUGUUGGUGGGGUAAUGGCCUACCAAGGCGUCGACGGGUAGCCGGCCUGAGAGGGUGUACGGCCACAUUGGGACUGAGACACGGCCCAGACUCCUACGGGAGGCAGCAGUGGGGAAUAUUGCACAAUGGGCGCAAGCCUGAUGCAGCGACGCCGCGUGGGGGAUGAAGGCCUUCGGGUUGUAAACUCCUUUCGCUAGGGACGAAGCCUUAUGGUGACGGUACCUGGAGAAGAAGCACCGGCUAACUACGUGCCAGCAGCCGCGGUAAUACGUAGGGUGCGAGCGUUGUCCGGAAUUACUGGGCGUAAAGAGCUCGUAGGUGGUUUGUCGCGUCGUCUGUGAAAUCCCGGGGCUUAACUUCGGGCGUGCAGGCGAUACGGGCAUAACUUGAGUGCUGUAGGGGAGACUGGAAUUCCUGGUGUAGCGGUGAAAUGCGCAGAUAUCAGGAGGAACACCAAUGGCGAAGGCAGGUCUCUGGGCAGUAACUGACGCUGAGGAGCGAAAGCAUGGGUAGCGAACAGGAUUAGAUACCCUGGUAGUCCAUGCCGUAAACGGUGGGCGCUAGGUGUAGGGGUCUUCCACGACUUCUGUGCCGCAGCUAACGCAUUAAGCGCCCCGCCUGGGGAGUACGGCCGCAAGGCUAAAACUCAAAGGAAUUGACGGGGGCCCGCACAAGCGGCGGAGCAUGUGGAUUAAUUCGAUGCAACGCGAAGAACCUUACCUGGGCUUGACAUGGACCGGAUCGGCGUAGAGAUACGUUUUCCCUUGUGGUCGGUUCACAGGUGGUGCAUGGUUGUCGUCAGCUCGUGUCGUGAGAUGUUGGGUUAAGUCCCGCAACGAGCGCAACCCUUGUCUUAUGUUGCCAGCACAUUGUGGUGGGUACUCAUGAGAGACUGCCGGGGUUAACUCGGAGGAAGGUGGGGAUGACGUCAAAUCAUCAUGCCCCUUAUGUCCAGGGCUUCACACAUGCUA
RNAcentral lists this ribosomal RNA (1003 nucleotides) under Corynebacterium glutamicum. RNAcentral's name for it is "bacterial SSU rRNA". It matches the Rfam family "Bacterial small subunit ribosomal RNA", at positions 214 to 1227 of the family's 1533-position model. The record is from RNAcentral. Lineage: Bacteria; Bacillati; Actinomycetota; Actinomycetes; Mycobacteriales; Corynebacteriaceae.